UGCUUUCCCGGUGACUCACAGCGUUCCUGGCCGGUCAGCGGCGGCCGCAGGACACCCCGGCAGCGCUCUGCCCCGGCCUCUGCCUGAACUCCGCUGGCAAAGCAAUCCCCCCCGCCAGAUGCGGGGUUCCUCGGCCCGCUGUCCCCCCGGCUGAGAGGAUGGGGACAGGGCACAGAGCUCACGGCAGGAGCUGCGCUGACCUCUCCGUGGCCUGGGCGCUUCCUCCUCUGCCAGUUCUGCAGAACCCCCAAGAGGAACGGGCUCGCCACAAACAGCCCUGGUGCAGCCCCGACUCUGAGCACUGCCCCAGCUCUGUCCAGCUCUGUGACUCAGUUUCCCUUUGUUGAGCUUCAGCCCUUUGAAUCCGCUCCUGGCUUCCCUCAGGGCGCUUCCCCAGCACCAUUCUGCAUCGUUCUGCAUCCCACCACCUGCAGCCAUCCUGCUAUGUUGCCAUGAGUGGGUCAGUUCUCCGCAGGCGGGACCGGGACCGGGAGCGGGGCAGGAUGAGUGCGGGGACCGGAGCUGGCAGCAGCCAAGUGGCCCGUGGUGGCCGUGGCCCGCCCGGUGCUCAGCACGCAGGAAUGCCGUGAGCUUGCAAAGUGGUUUCAGCGAGACGUUAUCUAAUGGAGGAGGAGGAGAAGGGUGGAUUAAGCCAAACCCACAGCACCGGCUUUCAAUUAAACCAAGUGAAUUUA
Molecule: non-coding RNA, 695 nt
Organism: Taeniopygia guttata (zebra finch)
Lineage: Eukaryota; Metazoa; Chordata; Aves; Passeriformes; Estrildidae
Source: RefSeq, a predicted model, not a curated record